Molecule: long non-coding RNA, 1117 nt
Filed under: Musa acuminata (dwarf banana)
Lineage: Eukaryota; Viridiplantae; Streptophyta; Magnoliopsida; Zingiberales; Musaceae
Description: long non-coding RNA (MACU_LNC003641)
Source: RNAcentral
UCACAGGUCAAUGGAACCUAUGAAAUCCAUCAUAAACAUUUUGACUUUUGGUUCUGAGCAACAACAACAACAACAACAACAAGAAAAGGCAAAUUCAUGAAAUCUGGACCAAAUACUAUAAUUUCUCUGUUCACUUUAGAACAUCAGAAGGAAGAUCCUCACAACCCAACCACCUAAUAUUUACAAGAAUUAACACUACUGUUCCUUCUCAAGAUCUUUACAGUUACCAUUGAUUGAUGGUGUUGACUCCUUGGGAGAUCCAUGCCUUAUUCCAACACAAAGGAGAGAGAUAGAGAGAAAGAGCUUGCCACAACAAUCAUUCACAUGCUGUGGUAAUACUUACUACUCGUAGCAGCAGGAACAAACAGGAGGGCAAUCAACAUGCGUUGACCUUCUUCCAGUCGAGCCAAGAAAGCCACGGUGUUGGACUCGGUCACCUUCGUGAUCCCUUAAGCCACUCGGGGCGAGGCGGACCGCCGCGUGAGCGACUGCGUCGUAGCUGAAGCGGGCGCGGCCGCCGGGGGCGAGGACGAAAGGAGGUGGAUCUCCGGGUAACGAAGCCUGCCGGAGUCACCAGGCAAUCUCAUGUAAGAAGCUGAGGGUGACUCGUCGAGCCAUGAAUUCCUCGAAGGAGCUUCCUCGCCAUGGGCGUAGUGCAGUAUGGCUCUGUACACGAAGGGAAUGAGGCCUUCCAUCGUGAGAGAAGAAGAAAGUACACUUUUGGUCGAACAGUAGGGGGGGGAGGGGAGGAUAAGAGCAAAGAAGCUUGUGCUUCUCCUGAAGAGAAACCAAAGUAGGAAGGGGUUGGCUUAAAUAGACAGAGGUAGAAAGAUUGUAUGAGAAAGCUGGCUGCAGCAAAUGGUCAGGAACGGCAACUUCUUCUCGAUGCAACACCAAUUUGGUCUUUUGGAGGAGCAUAAAGUCGAAGGAUUGGUCUUUGGUCCAUCCUGCGUAGUUGCUUCUGUGAACAUCUUGCCAAUUUUAUUGGAUAUACUUCCAGGGUUAGGUUGGAGUCCUCAUCCUCUUUCCAACAUAAUUAUCAUCAGAUAACCCCAAUAGAUGUGCAGUUUGCUAUGUUUUGGUGACAUGUUCCUUUCAGAUUGUGUUUAAGAUUUUG